GCUGUAAGUUUUUAACUCAUGAUGUGCGAGAGCAUUAACAUCAGUUUACCAGACCAACCAAAUCUCUUUAUAUGUGUAAAUGUCCAUCUCAGAUAUGGGUUUGUCUCACCUUUUUUUAUUACUUGUUUUGGUAAGUCUGAAUAUAUGGCUAACCCCCUAGACAAAGUGGCAGCUGCCAAACUCAUGACACCAAUAGGUGAGACAGAGGCUAAACAACAUUAACUGUUUAAAUCUAAAACCAGACUUUAAGUUAAGGCGAGGUAAUACAAAAUCUUUAUUAAAUUUGUCAUACAUUUGCAGUUCAAUUUUGUCUGAUCACAAAAAUAGCAUCAUGAAAAAUUGUGGUUUAACUUUACAUUUCAAAUAACUGGUCAAUAUAAAAAAUCUAAAUUAAUUCAUAAUUAAAACUAAUGCAGAAUAUUUUACAUAUGGUUGUCUUCUGAUGUGAUUGACUUUAUUGUUACAGCCUCUUCUUUUAAAUGCUCCAAAGUGUUUUUUACCAUAUUCACCAUAUUCUGGUGGAUGACUUCAGAAAAGCAGUAGCCACAAGAAGGCUUGUGCUCACAAAUCACUUAAUAUUAGGUGCCAGGGACUAAUGUUUUGAGAAAUCCCUUGGAGCAUUUCUAUAAUCUAAAGGUUCACAUUCACAAGCUAUAUAUAACCAUGAUGCUUCAAACCUGGACAACUAACUUUUGACGCUAAAUCAAAUCAGUUUACCAUUGAUUCAAAAAGGCUACCUUGGGAAAUAAAUAAAUAAGCAAGAUCUAAAAGCAUUUUUUCAGUUUUUAUCAUUAUGUUGCUGACUUCUUUGUCAUAAAUCUGUUAGUCACGAGCAACAGAUGAAUAUGGCUCUACCUUACCUUGUCCCAUGAUCUAUAACUUAAAACUUCUACUAUAUCCUUUCAUUCAAGUGGAAUGAAUAGUCAUCUUAAGUUAAAGAAGCUAGCUUAAUCUCAGAGGGCUGUUGCAUAGCAUAUUUCAAUCAAGUGUGUGUACAAGUGUGUAUGGCUGCAGUAUCACUUUUCACCACUAGGGGCCAGUACUGAGUUACCUCCCACAUACACACUUUAGCACACAAAUGUCGGUAAAUGUGUAUUCUGGGGUGAACCCUGAAAAUUUGACAGGGCACUAUUUUAACCAUUUUAUCACUGAAUAAUAGGUUACUUUUUGUGGGGUCCAGGAUUUUGGUCCCCACUUUAUUUUCAGUCCCCACGCUGUGAGUGGGCUAUCACAUCUCGGUACCAACAAUGUAUUAAAGACAAACACACACACACACACACACACACACACACACACACACA
Molecule: non-coding RNA, 1301 nt
Organism: Xyrichtys novacula (pearly razorfish)
Lineage: Eukaryota; Metazoa; Chordata; Actinopteri; Labriformes; Labridae
Source: the annotation of a GenBank genome assembly